Molecule: long non-coding RNA, 101 nt
Organism: Lontra canadensis (Northern American river otter)
Lineage: Eukaryota; Metazoa; Chordata; Mammalia; Carnivora; Mustelidae
Exons: 3
Source: RefSeq, a predicted model, not a curated record
GGAAAAUACUGUCCUAGAAACAUAAAAUUGUCAGUCACUAGCCAUGCAUUAUGAAUGUCUGAAAAUCUUGUAUAAAACUGAGAAGCAGGGGCACCUGGGUG